This 465-nucleotide ribosomal RNA is filed under the name uncultured bacterium. RNAcentral's name for it is "partial 16S ribosomal RNA". It matches the Rfam family "Bacterial small subunit ribosomal RNA", at positions 338 to 795 of the family's 1533-position model. The record is from RNAcentral.
CCUACGGGUGGCAGCAGUGGGGAAUAUUGCGCAAUGGGCGAAAGCCUGACGCAGCGACGCCGCGUGAGGGAUGAAGGUCUUAGGAUCGGAAACCUCUGUCAGCAGGGAAGAAAGGUCACUGGGCUAAUCAGCAGUGAAUUGACGGUACCUGCAAAGGAAGCACCGGCUAACUCCGUGCCAGCAGCCGCGGUAAUACGGAGGGUGCGAGUGUUAAUCGGAAUUACUGGGCGUAAAGGGAUCGUAGGCGGUAUGUCAAGUCAUGGGUGAAAUCGCCGCGCUCAACGUGGGAACUGCCUUUGAAACUGGCAAACUGGAGUGUGUGAGAGGAUAGUGGAAUUCCAGGUGUAGGAGUGAAAUCCGUAGAUAUCUGGAGGAACAUCAGUGGCGAAGGCGACUAUCUGGCACAUAACUGACGCUGAGGAGCGAAAGCGUGGGUAGCAAACAGGAUUAGAUACCCUUGUAGUC